RNAcentral lists this unclassified non-coding RNA (362 nucleotides) under soil metagenome. RNAcentral describes it as "partial contains 5.8S ribosomal RNA, internal transcribed spacer 2, and large subunit ribosomal RNA". The stretch from base 1 to 120 matches the Rfam family "5.8S ribosomal RNA", at positions 35 to 154 of the family's 154-position model. The record is from RNAcentral.
GAUGAAGAACGUAGCGAAAUGCGAUAAGUAAUGUGAAUUGCAGAAUUCAGUGAAUCAUCGAAUCUUUGAACGCACAUUGCGCCCGCCAGCAUUCUGGCGGGCAUGCCUGUUCGAGCGUCAUUUCAACCCCUCAGGCCCUAGCGCCUGGCGUCGGAGGCUUUCCCCCCUCACCGGGGAACCUCUCAGAGACAGUGGCGGACCCGCCGCGGCUCCGAGCGCAGUAGUUAAAAAGCGUGUCGCUCUGGAGAUCACCGCGGGGAGCCUCGCCGUUAAACCGGGCCGGUGACCUGGCCCACGCACAAGGUUGACCUCGGAUCAGGUAGGAAUACCCGCUGAACUUAAGCAUAUCAAUAAGCGGAGGA